This 253-nucleotide ribosomal RNA is filed under the name uncultured bacterium. RNAcentral describes it as "partial 16S ribosomal RNA". It matches the Rfam family "Bacterial small subunit ribosomal RNA", at positions 524 to 776 of the family's 1533-position model. The record is from RNAcentral.
UACGUAGGGGGCUAGCGUUGUCCGGAAUCAUUGGGCGUAAAGAGCGCGUAGGCGGCCCUGUUAGUCCGCUGUAAAAGUCAAAGGCUCAACCUUUGAAUGCCGGUGGAUACUGCAGGGCUAGAGUCCGGAAGAGGCGAGUGGAACUCCUGGUGUAGCGGUGGAAUGCGCAGAUAUCAGGAAGAACACCACCGGCGAAGGCAGCUCGCUGGGACGGAACUGACGCUAAGGCGCGAAAGCGUGGGGAGCGAACAGG